AUGUCAAGUUUGGUAACAGAACGACAGUUUGUGCUGUUUGAGCCGUCAUUCUGUUACCAAACUUUGCAUCUGCACUGCCCCAUUUCCACUGGCCCUCCACCUGGUCCUCCUGCCCCAUUUCCACUGGCCCUCCUGCCCCAUUUCCACUGGCCCUCUACCUGGUCCUCCUGCCCCAUUUCCACUGGCCCUCCUGCCCCAUUUCCACUGGCCCUCUACCUGGUCCUCCUGCCCCAUUUCCACUUGCCCUCUACCUGGUCCUCCUGCCCCAUUUCCACUGGCCCUCUACCUGGUCCUCCUGCCCCAUUUCCACUGGCCCUCUACCUGGUCCUCCUGCCCCAUUUCCACUGGCCCUCUACCUGGUCCUCCUGCCCCAUUUCUACUGGCCCUCUACCUGGUCCUCCUGCCCCAUUUCCACUGGCCCUCUACCUGGUCCUCCUGCCCCAUUUCCACUGGCCCUCUACCUGGUUCUCCUGCCCCAUUUCCACUGGCCCUCUACCUGGUCCUCCUGCCCCAUUUCCACUGGCCCUCUACCUGGUCCUCCUGCCCCAUUUCCACUGGCCCUCUACCUGGUCCUCUUGCCCCAUUUCCACUGGCCCUCUACCUGGUCCUCCUGCCCCAUUUCCACUGGCUCUCCACCUGGUCCUCCUGCCCCAUUUCCACUGGCCCUCCUGCCCCAUUUCUACUGGCCCUCCUGCCCCAUUUCCACUGGCCCUCUACCUGGUCCUCUUGCCCCAUUUCCACUGGCCCUCUACCUGGUCCUCCUGCCCCAUUUCCACUGGCCCUCCACCUGGUCCUCCUGCCCCAUUUCCACUGGCCCUCUACCUGGUCCUCAUGCCCCAUUUCCACUCGCCCUCCUGCCCCAUUUCCACUGGCCCUCUACCUGGUCCUCCUGCCCCAUUUCCACUGGCCCUCUACCUGGUCCUCCUGCCCCAUUUCCACUGGCCCUCUACCUGGUCCUCCUGCCCCAUUUCCACUGGCCCUCUACCUGGUCCUCCUGCCCCAUUUCCACUGGCCCUCUACCUGGUCCUCCUGCCCCAUUUCCACUGGCCCUCUACCUGGUCCUCCUGCCCCAUUUCCACUGACCCUCUACCUGGUGCUCCUGCACCCUUUUUCCACUAG
This 1119-nucleotide long non-coding RNA is filed under the name Oncorhynchus mykiss (rainbow trout). RNAcentral describes it as "lncRNA (ENSOMYG00000062650.1)". Lineage: Eukaryota; Metazoa; Chordata; Actinopteri; Salmoniformes; Salmonidae. The record is from RNAcentral.